Molecule: ribosomal RNA, 197 nt
Filed under: Thalassionema nitzschioides
Lineage: Eukaryota; Bacillariophyta; Fragilariophyceae; Thalassionematales; Thalassionemataceae
Description: partial Eukaryotic small subunit ribosomal RNA
Rfam family: Eukaryotic small subunit ribosomal RNA
Source: RNAcentral
CUGAUCGCACGGUCCUAGUACCGGCGACGUAUCUUUCAAAUGUCUGCCUUAUCAACUGUCGACGGUAGAUUCUACGCCUACCGUGGUGGUAACGGGUAACGGGGAAUCAGGGUUCGAUUCCGGAGAGGGAGCCUGAGAAACGGCUACCACAUCCAAGGAAGGCAGCAGGCGCGUAAAUUAUCCACCCCUAGUUCAGG